Long non-coding RNA from Camponotus floridanus (Florida carpenter ant), 477 nucleotides. RefSeq lists it as uncharacterized. The record is from RefSeq and is a predicted model, not a curated record. NCBI's taxonomy places the organism in Eukaryota, Metazoa, Arthropoda, Insecta, Hymenoptera, Formicidae. The transcript is spliced from 3 exons.
AACGCGAAAAGCGAGGAGAGAGAUGUUUCUUUUUUACAGAGAGGUGUUCCUCGGGAGAGGAAUGGUAAAUAUUUUUGAGGUUGCGGCGUGCAUUACGCUGACACGGGGGAAAAAAGUUUCGGGUAAACCGAGUGUCCGAUUGUCAAUGGAUGCAGCCGUUUGAAAUUGGCGCGUACAAAGCCAUCGUGAAAGCUGUGGAUGAACGGUAGACGGCGUCAUUAUUGAUGAGCGAAGAAAAGCAGAAGCGAAUCUCAAUGUUCGCGGAGAGAGAAUCUCGAGCCUUUCGAAGACCCGGUAGCCAGCGCGCAAAAAUAUACGAUACUGGCUUUUGCCCUUUCCUAAAUGUGUGGUACGCACAUUUUUUUCUCCCCACCAGACUGGAAAUGAGGAACGCCGAGAAGCAAGGCGUUUUGUCACCUUUGAACGAACGAAAAACAUAACAGCUUCGUAGAGAAUUGACAAAGCACAUUUUCGAGA